Molecule: ribosomal RNA, 254 nt
Filed under: uncultured bacterium
Lineage: Bacteria
Description: partial 16S ribosomal RNA
Rfam family: Bacterial small subunit ribosomal RNA
Source: RNAcentral
UGAGUAACGCGUAGGUAACCUGCCUUGUAGCGGGGGAUAACUAUUGGAAACGAUAGCUAAUACCGCAUAACAAUGGAUGACCCAUGUCAUUUAUUUGAAAAGGGGCAAAUGCUCCACUACAAGAUGGACCUGCGUUGUAUUAGCUAGUAGGUGAGGUAACGGCUCACCUAGGCGACGAUACAUAGCCGACCUGAGAGGGUGAUCGGCCACAUUGGGACUGAGACACGGCCCAAACUCCUACGGGAGGCAGCAUG